GAUGAACGCUGGCGGCGUGCCUAAUACAUGCAAGUCGAGCGAACAGACGAGGAUCUUGCUCCUCUGACGUUAGCGGCGGACGGGUGAGUAACACGUGGAUAACCUACCUAUAAGACUGGGAUAACUUCGGGAAACCGGAGCUAAUACCGGAUAAUAUAUUGAACCGCAUGGUUCAAUAAUGAAAGACGGUUUUGCUGUCACUUAUAGAUGGAUCCGCGCCGCAUUAGCUAGUUGGUAAGGUAACGGCUUACCAAGGCAACGAUGCGUAGCCGACCUGAGAGGGUGAUCGGCCACACUGGAAGUGAGACGCGGUCCAGACUCCUACGGGACGCAGCAGAGGGGAAUCUUCCGCAAUGGGCGAAAGCCUGACGGAGCAACGCCGCGUGAGUGAUAAGAGGCUUCGGAUCGUAGAACUCUGUUAUUAGGGAAGAACAAAAGUGUAAGUAACUAUGAACGACUUGACGGUACCUAAUCAGAAAGCCACGGCUAACUACGUG
This 497-nucleotide ribosomal RNA is filed under the name uncultured bacterium. RNAcentral describes it as "partial 16S ribosomal RNA". It matches the Rfam family "Bacterial small subunit ribosomal RNA", at positions 28 to 507 of the family's 1533-position model. The record is from RNAcentral.